GCUGGGCACAGUGGCACAUACUUGUAGUCCCAGCCACUUGGGAGGCUGAGGCUAAAGGAUUGCAUGAAUCCAGGAGUUCUGGGCUGUAGAGUGCUAUGCUGAUCGGGUGUCUGCAGGUUCGGCAUCAAUAUGGUGACUUCCCAGGACCAGGGAUCACCAGGUUGCCUGAGGAGGGAUGAACCAGCCCAAGCUGGAAAUGGAGCUGAUCAAAACCCCUGUGCUGAUCAGUAGAGAGAUCAUGCCUGUGAAUAACCACUGCCCCCUAGCCUGGGCAACAUAGUGAGACCCCCAU
Molecule: signal recognition particle RNA, 292 nt
Filed under: Carlito syrichta (Philippine tarsier)
Lineage: Eukaryota; Metazoa; Chordata; Mammalia; Primates; Tarsiidae
Description: Metazoan signal recognition particle RNA (ENSTSYG00000032096.1)
Rfam family: Metazoan signal recognition particle RNA
About the family: The signal recognition particle (SRP) is a universally conserved ribonucleoprotein. It is involved in the co-translational targeting of proteins to membranes. The eukaryotic SRP consists of a 300-nucleotide 7S RNA and six proteins: SRPs 72, 68, 54, 19, 14, and 9.
Source: RNAcentral